AAUUUAAAGUCUAAUUCUGCCACUGAUAUAAUUAUUAAAGGGCUGCAGUAUAUUGACUGUACAAAGGUAGCAUAAUCAUUACUCUUUUAAUUGAAGACUUGUAUGAAAGAUUUGAUGAAAUAUUAACUGUCUCUGAUUUAUUUAUAUAAAAUUUAAUUUUUUAGUUAAAAAGCUAAAAUAAAAUUAAAAGACGAGAAGACCCUAUAGAGUUUUAUAAUUAUAAUAAUUAAUAAAUAUCUUAUUUAUAUAUAAAUAAAGAAAAAUUAUUUUAAUUAUUUUAUUGGGGUGAUAAAAAAAUUAAAAAAACUUUUUUUUUAUUUAAACAUAAAUAAGUGAAAGAAUGAUCCAUUAAUAAUGAUUAUAAGAAAAAAUUACCUUAGGGAUAACAGCGUAAUAUUUUUUUUUAGUACAAAUAAAAAAAAAAGUUUGCGACCUCGAUGUUGGAUUAAAAUAAAAUUUAAAUGCAAAAGUUUAAAAUUUUGAUCUGUUCGAUCAUUAAAAUCUUACAUG
RNAcentral lists this ribosomal RNA (510 nucleotides) under Nymphalis c-aureum. RNAcentral describes it as "Polygonia c-aureum partial 16S ribosomal RNA". Lineage: Eukaryota; Metazoa; Arthropoda; Insecta; Lepidoptera; Nymphalidae. The record is from RNAcentral.